Molecule: long non-coding RNA, 334 nt
Organism: Hippocampus zosterae (dwarf seahorse)
Lineage: Eukaryota; Metazoa; Chordata; Actinopteri; Syngnathiformes; Syngnathidae
Exons: 3
Source: RefSeq, a predicted model, not a curated record
CGCCUGUCUUUCAGCUUCCUGUAAUCCAUCGACGACCUGGUGGAAAUCAAACACUGAGGAGGGAAAAUAAGUUCACAGAAAGUACAAAAAAAACAACAAGAAAAACAAAUCCAGCGCCAUACGCACCAAGGCCAGGCAAAUGUAUGACCACGCCGUUACCUACAAGAUCAGAGAGAAGAUAUCAAAGAGUUGACACGAAACACAUUUGCGAAAUGACUUCAUCUUCAAGCAGACAUCCAGAACUCAGACUCUGAUCCGACUGAAAAGAUGUGCGAGCCGCACACAAGACAUACCCUCUCAUAUUAUGACUGACGGGCACACACUUAUGCAACCA